UGGGGAAUAUUGCACAAUGGGGGAAACCCUGAUGCAGCGACGCCGCGUGAACGAAGAAGGUAUUCGUAUCGUAAAGUUCUGUCCUAUGGGAAGAUAAUGACAGUACCAUAGAAGAAAGCUCCGGCUAAAUACGUGCCAGCAGCCGCGGUAAUACGUAUGGAGCGAGCGUUGUCCGGAAUUAUUGGGCGUAAAGGGUACGCAGGCGGUUUAAUAAGUCGAAUGUUAAAGAUCGGGGCUCAACCCCGUAAAGCAUUGGAAACUGAUAAACUUAAGUAGUGGAGAGGAAAGUGGAAUUCCUAGUGUAGUGGUGAAAUACGUAAGUAUUAGGGGGAAUACCAGUAGCGAAGGCGACUUUCUGGACACAAACUGACGCUGGGGUACGAAAGCGUGGGGAGCAAACAGG
Molecule: ribosomal RNA, 403 nt
Filed under: Actinomycetes bacterium
Lineage: Bacteria; Bacillati; Actinomycetota; Actinomycetes
Description: Actinobacteria bacterium partial 16S ribosomal RNA
Rfam family: Bacterial small subunit ribosomal RNA
Source: RNAcentral